This 198-nucleotide unclassified non-coding RNA is filed under the name uncultured Inocybe. RNAcentral describes it as "sequence contains ITS2". Lineage: Eukaryota; Fungi; Basidiomycota; Agaricomycetes; Agaricales; Cortinariaceae. The record is from RNAcentral.
AUAUUCUCAAACCACAUUGAUUCUUUCGGUGUGGCUUGGAAGUGGGGGUUGUGCAGGCUUUAGAAAUGAAGUCUGCUCCCCUGAAAUGCAUUAGUGGUAUCUGAGCAGAAGAACUACUACAGGUGUGAUAAUUUAUCUACGCCUUGGUAUACUGCAGAAACAGAUUGCGCUGCUUAUAACAACAUUUUUGUUUUAUUU